CAUGUACCGGUGGGGUCCCUCAGCCUGGCCUGCGCCCUCUCGCAAUCUGGGACCCCUCGGGGGAUGUCUGCUUUUGGCCCGAUCCCGCAGGCCAGGCUGAGGGACCCCACUGGUGCAUG
RNAcentral lists this microRNA precursor (119 nucleotides) under Myotis brandtii (Brandt's bat). RNAcentral describes it as "mir-9193 microRNA precursor family". It matches the Rfam family "mir-9193 microRNA precursor family". Lineage: Eukaryota; Metazoa; Chordata; Mammalia; Chiroptera; Vespertilionidae. The record is from Rfam by way of RNAcentral.